Molecule: ribosomal RNA, 250 nt
Filed under: uncultured prokaryote
Description: partial 16S ribosomal RNA
Rfam family: Bacterial small subunit ribosomal RNA
Source: RNAcentral
UACGUAUGGAGCAAGCGUUAUCCGGAUUUACUGGGUGUAAAGGGAGCGCAGGCGGUCAAGCAAGUCAGAUGUGAAAACCCGAGGCUCAACCACGGGACUGCAUUUGAAACUGCCUGACUAGAGUACCGGAGAGGUCAGUGGAAUUCCUAGUGUAGCGGUGAAAUGCGUAGAUAUUAGGAGGAACACCAGUGGCGAAGGCGGCUGACUGGACGGUAACUGACGCUGAGGCUCGAAAGCGUGGGGAGCAAAC